This 296-nucleotide long non-coding RNA is filed under the name Hordeum vulgare. RNAcentral describes it as "long non-coding RNA (HVUL_LNC000578)". Lineage: Eukaryota; Viridiplantae; Streptophyta; Magnoliopsida; Poales; Poaceae. The record is from RNAcentral.
CACGCGCUGGGACGUGCAUGGAGUAGAUUAGUUAGUGCUGGUAGUGGGUUGUUGUGCGUGAGUGCAUAGCAUUAGUGCCUCGUCCUUGUAUAUAUAUAUUUGCACUGGAGUAAUGGAAGGCAGCCAUGAGGGCUAACAGAAAACAUGUAGCCAUUGUGGGUAACCAAGGAAGUGUUCUAGCGGCAAAGCCCUUGUGUUCUUCUUCCUUGGUUCAUGUGUGUGUGUGUGCGUGUGUGUUUCUGUGAGUUCUUCCAUUGUGUAAGUGUUCUUGAGAAAUAUUCGAGCUGAGAUAGUCG